Molecule: unclassified non-coding RNA, 21 nt
Filed under: Trypanosoma brucei brucei
Lineage: Eukaryota; Euglenozoa; Kinetoplastea; Trypanosomatida; Trypanosomatidae
Description: partial miscellaneous RNA
Source: RNAcentral
ACAAGUUUCUGUACUAUAUUG